AAAGAUUAAGCCAUGCAUGUCUAAGUAUAAGCAAUCUAUACCGUGAAACUGCGAAUGGCUCAUUAAAUCAGUUAUCGUUUAUUUGAUAGUACCUUACUACUUGGAUAACCGUGGUAAUUCUAGAGCUAAUACAUGCUAAAAACCCCAACUUCGGGAGGGGUGUAUUUAUUAGAUAAAAAACCAAUGCCCUUCGGGGCUCCUUGGUGAUUCAUGAUAACUUAUCAGAUCGCAUGGCUUUACGCCGGCGACGGUUCAUUCAAAUUUCUGCCCUAUCAACUUUCGAUGGUAAGGUAUUGGCUUACCAUGGUUU
RNAcentral lists this ribosomal RNA (310 nucleotides) under uncultured fungus. Its description in RNAcentral is "SSU rRNA". It matches the Rfam family "Eukaryotic small subunit ribosomal RNA", at positions 39 to 352 of the family's 1831-position model. Lineage: Eukaryota; Fungi. The record is from RNAcentral.